RNAcentral lists this ribosomal RNA (649 nucleotides) under uncultured bacterium. RNAcentral describes it as "bacterial SSU rRNA". It matches the Rfam family "Bacterial small subunit ribosomal RNA", at positions 145 to 811 of the family's 1533-position model. The record is from RNAcentral.
AACGUUCCGAAAGGAACGCUAAUACCGCAUGUGCUCUCGAUUUUUAGAAAGUUGAGAGUAAAGGAUUUAUUCGCUUUGAGAGGAGCCUGCGUCCCAUCAGCUAGUUGGUAGGGUAAUAGCCUACCAAGGCUUUGACGGGUAGGGGACCUGAGAGGGUGGCCCCCCACAAUGGAACUGAAACACGGUCCAUACACCUACGGGUGGCAGCAGUAGGGAAUAUUAGAAAUGGACGAAAGUCUGAUCUAGCGACACCGCGUGUGCGAUGAAGGCCUUCGGGUUGUAAAGCACUUUUUGGAAGGAAUAGGAAGGAAGGUACUUCCAGAAUAAGUCUCGGCUAACUACGUGCCAGCAGCCGCGGUAACACGUAGGAGGCAAACGUUAUCCGGAUUUACUGGGCGUAAAGCGCGUGUAGGUGGUUCUGUAAGUAGGGCGUGAAAGCUCCUGGCUCAACUGGGAGAGGCCGUUCUAAACUACAGAGCUAGAGGAUGGUAGAGGGAGGUGGAAUUCCAGGUGUAGCGGUGGAAUGCGCAGAUAUCUGGAGGAACACCAGUGGCGAAGGCGGCCUCCUGGACCAUUCCUGACACUCAGACGCGAAAGCUAGGGUAGCAAACGGGAUUAGAGACCCCGGUAGUCCUAGCCCUAAACGAUG